UACGGAAGGCAGCAGUGGGGAAUAUUGCACAAUGGGCGAAAGCCUGAUGCAGCUAUGCCGCGUGUAUGAAGAAGGCCUUAGGGUUGUAAAGUACUUUCAUCGGGGAGGAAAAAACAAAACUAAUAAUUUUAUUUCUUGACGUUACCCGAAAAAGAAGCACCGGCUAACUCCGUGCCAGCAGCCGCGGUAAUACGGAGGGUGCUAGCGUUAAUCAGAAUUACUGGGCGUAAAGAGCACGUAGGUGGUUUUUUUAAGUCAGAUGUGAAUCCCUGGGCUUAACCUAGGAACUGCAUUUGAAACUGAAAUACUAGAGUAUCGUAGAGGGAGGUAGAAUUCUAGGUGUAGCGGUGAAAUGCGUAGAUAUCUGGAGGAAUACCUGUGGCGAAAGCGGCCUCCUAAACGAAUACUGACACUGAGGUGCGAAAGCGUGGGGAGCAAACAGGGAUUAGAUACC
This 454-nucleotide ribosomal RNA is filed under the name uncultured bacterium. Its description in RNAcentral is "bacterial SSU rRNA". It matches the Rfam family "Bacterial small subunit ribosomal RNA", at positions 340 to 786 of the family's 1533-position model. The record is from RNAcentral.